This is a non-coding RNA of Dipodomys ordii (Ord's kangaroo rat), 72 nucleotides long. The record is from Rfam. NCBI's taxonomy places the organism in Eukaryota, Metazoa, Chordata, Mammalia, Rodentia, Heteromyidae.
GGGAAGAUGGCUCAGUGGUAGAGUGCUUGCCUUGCAUGCAUGAGGCCCUGGGUUCGAUUCCUCAGCACCCCA